UUUCUGUCACCUCCGUACCUGCCGCUCAUGUUUGACGCACCGUGCUUGUUGUCAUCCUUGGCUCUGCUCUCUCGAAGUGUCGCCACUGCGACUCUUCCUCCUCUUGCUACUUCACGCGCCACGCGCUCCUUUACUCUCCGUCACUGAGUUCCAUCCCUGGAGCGAACGUGGCAAAAGGCAUGGGUGCGCAUGGUUGAUGAGUGCACCCGAGAGCGCGGAGUGCGUGUUGCCGCUACGUAGGAGCCGUCGCAGUCGUGGAAUGGGGAAGGGGCACUAGAGGUGGCAUCGGGUGUGUAUGCAUGUGUGUGGGUGUGUCUGUGCUUGCAUCAUGGCUUUCUCGUUUCGCUUCUCUCCUGUGCCUUGUUCUCUCUGCUGCUCGCAUCGUCGGUUUGCUUUCAAGCAUCGCAGUGGACACGGGUCUCGGAAAAAAAGGAAAAGGAGCAAGGGAGGGGGUGUGGAGGCAGGUAGCUCACGCACCUAAAUUGCUGAAGAGGCACGGUGCACGCAAUGUCAAGCCGACCCGUUUCUCUUGUGGUCUGUCGCCUCCUUUCCCUUCCCCUCCCCCCGCGCUCUCUCUCUCCCUCCGUGCACAGCCACCCGAGACCUCAUCUCUUUUUUGUUGUUGUUCAGAUACGCGGUUGCACCUACUAUGUGUCCGACGCCAGGCAACGCCAACGGAAAUCAAAUGAAUGGCCUCGCAAUGAAUCCACCAAACUGGGAUAGCGCAGGUCAACAUGCAGCCAUGGAUGCCCUUCAAAGCCACCCCUCUUCUCACGUCGUUGGCGCGCAGAAGAAUGACGUGGUUUUCAGUGCUGCACUUCCACCAAACGCCAACUCGCGUAUGCGCUUCCCCCACAAGUGUACUCAGGUACGUGGAAGCUUGGGUGGGCUUGCUCGUGUCCGUCGUCGCGUGUCGGCCCGCCUACUUCUCCCGCACGUCACUGAUUUUGUUCUUCUCCCUACUUCCUCUCUGUGGGCGGUGCAAAG
Molecule: unclassified non-coding RNA, 987 nt
Filed under: Leishmania donovani
Lineage: Eukaryota; Euglenozoa; Kinetoplastea; Trypanosomatida; Trypanosomatidae
Description: gene:unknown
Source: RNAcentral